Molecule: long non-coding RNA, 2812 nt
Organism: Manis pentadactyla (Chinese pangolin)
Lineage: Eukaryota; Metazoa; Chordata; Mammalia; Pholidota; Manidae
Exons: 3
Source: RefSeq, a predicted model, not a curated record
UUGUGGGUACAGAGUGUAGUGAAAUAAUGGCCAACGCGCUUCAGGCUGGAUUUAUGCUUCAUGAGCUAAAAUGGUUCUUAACUAUUUAUGUUGCCACAUUAGGUAGCCAUUCACUUUUAAUGUGUUUCUAAUAAGAAAACACUAUGCAAAGAUGUAUUUUAGCAGAAUUUUAUAAGCCCUCUACGCAAGAGGUAAUAACCAGCAUCCUGGAAAUAAACUGUCACUUUUACUUGCAUUUUAAGCCAGAUUAAUACCUUCCUUUCAUUUAUAACUUGGUCCUAGACUGAAAGCAAAAUCACUAUCCAUUUAUUUCUUAUUCAAAGGUUGGAAGAAAAAGGUACCAAACAAAAUGAUUUUGUAUAAAAAGUUUCCAGGUUCUGGCAGCAAAGGUCUGGAUUAAAGCCUCGGCCUGCCGUUCACCAGCUGUGACUCAGGAUGCCGCUGAAUGUUUGGCUCGGUAGUAAAACGGGAUCAUGUUGAUUCUAGAGCUGUCAUGACAUCUCACCCUUGUGAUUCACACCCUGGACUUAUCUUGACACAGGGGUCUUUUCAAACAUAGACAGUCAUGGGAUAUUAAACUGGAAGGACAGUAGCGAUCAUCUCAUCCCGUCAACUCACUAUGUAUAUGAGGAACCUGAGGUCCAGAGUGGGGAAGUGUCUUACCCGAGGUCACAUGGUUUCAGAGAAAUUAUGUUGAAUCCAAUAAGCCUUCCUGGACAUUCCAAGCCUCUUAACCAAGGCAUCUAUGUUGAGGAUGUCAAUGUUUAUUUCAGCAAAGGACUUCAUGGCUUUUAAAAACUUCUUUUAAGCCUCCAUGUUCUGAUGUCACCUUGGUAGGCGGGGCCCUCUGAGAGCGGGCGGAGAGGGGGGGAGCUCUAGGCCCCGUUGUCUUUGGAUCCGGGAAUGCUAAGUAGAAACUGCAUGAACCACCGGUGCCCCCCACACCCUUUCCACCACCCAGCCCGGUGUUUCCCCGUCCACCACGGGCAGGCUGCCCCUUCCCUCCAGUCAGCACUGUGCUCCUCUUCUUCUGGCCUCUGAGGCAGCCCCUGCCACCCAUCUUUAGAGCCAAUAAAGAGAAUUAAACACCUGUGCACCAGGAGGCAUCUUUUACACCCACUAGACAUUCUCUGGCUUUCCAAAAACAACCCAGCCAGCACAAGAAAGCUGAUGAGGUCCAGCCGGGCUCUGGCCUCACUUGCCCUGCUUGGAAGCAUGGGGUCUCCCUGGCUCUCCCUCGGACACCAGGCUCUCUUAGCGACCUCAUCGCCCUGCAGCCUCCAGUGGGGAAGAGCCUCUAAGCGGAGGUGGAGACGGCGUGGUGAGAGGAGGGGGGAGCCAGGCUCAAGUGUUGGCACCAGAUUAGGGCUCAGAGGAAAAGAAUGGAAACCAAUCAUUGUCUGUAUUUGUUUUGGUGGAGAAAACCAUAGGUUUUUUUUGGACACACAUCACCCCUACUCCCUCUUCUCUCUGGAACGGCUCACAGUGAGUGUGAUGUUAGAAAACUCCCUGGAGAGGAGGAUUUCUCCAGGGCUGCUCCUUGGCCCCUAGAGCUGCAGUUCCGACAAGCUUUGGCUGCGGGAGAUCCUGCCUGUGAACUGACCGUGCCUCUAGGACCACAAGGGACCGAGGGAAUCAGGCACUGAGGCCCUUCCUGCUCGUCCGUGAUCCCAGGAUCUCUUCCCCCCACUUUCACUUAUUCUUGACUCCGAGAACUUUCGGAACCAAUGGAAUCACCAUUUCAAGGCCAAGACGAACUGAAGGGGGAGAGAAGUAAGACUUGGCCUCCUCCAGCCCCUCUCGCGGCACCAAUGGAAGUGUCAUCCUAUUCUCUGGUCAAUGUAUGUGUUCACUUUGCUUGCUUUGACCCAUGCCUUACUCCGGGGCCACCCUCUCCCAAAGACGGGGUUUGUGUCCCCUGUUUUCAGCUAAUCCACUGGGGAGAGAGCGGGGGAUGCCUUCGCCUGCUCCGACAGGACAGGCACAGCGGCGGGGCCUGAACUGCUCCCAGGUCUGUGGCCAUGUUGGCUCAGUGCCCUUCGGGCUCGGCCUGCUCCCCGCAACCCAUGGUGCCUCCGUCGUGGGAGGUCAGCCCAGGCUGGAGCAGGGGGCCUCCCACGGGUGGCUCUUAGCACUGAACGGUGGUGGUUCUUAACCUGCUAAGUUUUGGAGUGGAGUCGCACGACUAUAGAUAGCAGAUUCUCUGCCUCUGGCAAAUUUACAUGGGAAUUAAGAUCCCCACUUAGGAUUUUCCUUCCUGGGUCCUGUGGAUGGUGGUUCUUCAUGCCAGGUCCUCAGCCUGAAUCUGCGGAUACCUCCAUGGGGUUUAAAAACAAAACUUUUUCCAAGUUCUUGCCCCAUAUCUGGGUGACCUCCCAGGCAGCUGAAUCCCCAGAGUUUCAGGUUCUCUCCAGGGCCUUGAGGUGUGUGUUUCUUCAGCCCCUCCCAGCUCCCCACCAUCCUGCUCCCCAGUGCUUCCCGCCAGGCUGUCCCCCAUCAUGUCCUGCUGACCCUUUGGGCCAGGGCCGCCUCCUGAGUGUGGCUUUAAGGAGUAAGCUUGAGGAUGAUGCUUUUUAAUUAUUGUAAAUCAUUACCUCAUUUCCAGCCUCCGAGGCUCCAUCCAUCCCAGCAUCUCCUAUCCUGCCAUUUUCCUCACCUUGUGCUAUGACAAUGGGGCGUUGUGUUUCCACAGAGACUUAAUAGGAGUGUUCAGUGUAUAGUUUCUUAAUAAACACUUUAUUUUCUAAUGAAAUGACUGGAUCAGACCUCUUAUUUGGCAAUUUUGCAAAGAAUAUUAAUGAUACAGGAAUUC